This 818-nucleotide long non-coding RNA is filed under the name Sus scrofa (pig). RNAcentral's name for it is "lncRNA (ENSSSCG00035004400.1, ENSSSCG00065028270.1)". The record is from RNAcentral. Lineage: Eukaryota; Metazoa; Chordata; Mammalia; Artiodactyla; Suidae.
AUGGAAGAAAUAAAAACGCUUCACGCCAGAAAAGAAAAGGCAACUGAAGUCCGGGGAUCUCACGAAUCUCUCAUUUGCCUCUUGGCUCGGGUUUUGUUCUGUGCGGGCCAAUGUUCCAGGCUGCGGUUUCCUCUCAGGCUUCUCCCCAGGUCCCUGACCUGGGAGCAUGAAAAGGAGCCAGGACCUGGAGCUUCCGAAGGCCAGCAGGUCGCCGUCAGACCUGAAGCCAGAAAACCAGCCCCGCCACCGGCUGGUGAGUUGGGCAUCGCAGUCCAACACCACUCUCUCUGAGAAGGGAAAGGUCCUCUAUCCGUGCUGAAAUGUGACUUAGCGCAACUGAGGAAAUGAAUUUUCAACUUGAUGUAAGGUGGGGUUUUUUUGGAUUUUUUUUUCUUUUUUCUUUUUACGGCUGCACCUGCGGCACAUGGAAGUUCCCAGGCCAGGGGUGGAAUUGGGGCUGCAGCUGCCGGCCUACGCCACAGCCACAGCAACGCCAGAUCCGAGCCACAUCUUCGACCUACGCCGCAGCUUGCAGCAGUGCCCCAGGAUCCUUAACCCAUUGAGCGAGGUCAGGGAUCGAACCUGAAUCCUCACAGAGACAGUGUCGGGUCCUUAACCUGCUGAGCCACAGUGGGAACUCCUUUUUUAGAUUUUAAAAAUUGAAGUAUAGUUGAUUUACAGUUGAUUUGAUCGUUUCAGGCAUACAGCAAAGCGAUUCGCGCAAUUUUAUUUAUUAUAAAUAGCCGCUUGUGGUUAGUGGCCACUAAAUUGGACAGUCCAGGGACACCUGACCAAAUAAAACCCCAAUGGAUGCCUCA